This 253-nucleotide ribosomal RNA is filed under the name uncultured bacterium. RNAcentral's name for it is "partial 16S ribosomal RNA". It matches the Rfam family "Bacterial small subunit ribosomal RNA", at positions 524 to 776 of the family's 1533-position model. The record is from RNAcentral.
UACAGAGGUCUCAAGCGUUGUUCGGAUUCAUUGGGCGUAAAGGGUGCGUAGGCGGACUCUUAAGUCGGUGGUGAAAUCCUGGAGCUCAACUCCAGAACUGCCUUCGAUACUGGGAGUCUCGAGUCCGGGAGAGGUGAGUGGAACUGCGAGUGUAGAGGUGAAAUUCGUAGAUAUUCGCAAGAACACCAGUGGCGAAGGCGGCUCACUGGCCCGGUACUGACGCUGAGGUGCGAAAGCGUGGGGAGCAAACAGG